GAUGAACGCUGGCGGCGUGCUUAACACAUGCAAGUCGAACGAACCUUCGGGUUAGUGGCGGACGGGUGAGUAACGCGUGGGAAUCUGCCCUCAGGAGGGGGAUAACGGUUGGAAACGACCGCUAAUACCCCAUAUGCCGAGAGGUGAAAUGAAUUUCGCCUGAGGAUGAGCCCGCGUCUGAUUAGCUUGUUGGAGAGGUAAUGGCUCACCAAGGCAUCGAUCAGUAGCUGGUCUGAGAGGAUGAUCAGCCACACUGGGACUGAGACACGGCCCAGACUCCUACGGGAGGCAGCAGUGGGGAAUUUUCCGCAAUGGGCGAAAGCCUGACGGAGCAACGCCGCGUGAGGGACGAAGGCCUCUGGGCUGUAAACCUCUUUUCUCAAGGAAGAAGAUAUGACGGUACUUGAGGAAUAAGCCACGGCUAAUUCCGUGCCAGCAGCCGCGGUAAUACGGGAGUGGCAAGCGUUAUCCGGAAUUAUUGGGCGUAAAGCGUCCGCAGGCGGCCUUUCAAGUCUGCUGUUAAAGCGUGGAGCUUAACUCCAUCAUGGCAGUGGAAACUGUUUGGCUUGAGUAUGGUAGGGGCAGAGGGAAUUCCCGGUGUAGCGGUGAAAUGCGUAGAUAUCGGGAAGAACACCAGUGGCGAAGGCGCUCUGCUGGGCCAUUACUGACGCUCAUGGACGAAAGCCAGGGGAGCGAAAGGGAUUAGAUACCCCUGUAGUCCUGGCCGUAAACGAUGAACACUAGGUGUCGGGGGAAUCGACCCCUUCGGUGUCGUAGCUAACGCGUUAAGUGUUCCGCCUGGGGAGUACGCACGCAAGUGUGAAACUCAAAGGAAUUGACGGGGGCCCGCACAAGCGGUGGAGUAUGUGGUUUAAUUCGAUGCAACGCGAAGAACCUUACCAGGGCUUGACAUCCUGCGAACCUUUAAGAAAUUAGAGGGUGCCUUCGGGAACGCAGUGACAGGUGGUGCAUGGCUGUCGUCAGCUCGUGUCGUGAGAUGUUGGGUUAAGUCCCGCAACGAGCGCAACCCACGUUUUUAGUUGCCAGCAUCUAGUUGGGCACUCUAGAAAGACCGCCGGUGAUAAACCGGAGGAAGGUGUGGAUGACGUCAAGUCAUCAUGCCCCUUACGUCCUGGGCUACACACGUACUACAAUGCUACGGACAAAGGGCAGCAAACUCGCGAGAGCUAGCAAAUCCCAUAAACCGUGGCUCAGUUCAGAUCGUAGGCUGCAACUCGCCUACGUGAAGUAGGAAUCGCUAGUAAUCGCAGGUCAGCAUACUGCGGUGAAUACGUUCCCGGGCCUUGUACUCACCGCCCGUC
This 1322-nucleotide ribosomal RNA is filed under the name uncultured bacterium. RNAcentral's name for it is "bacterial SSU rRNA". It matches the Rfam family "Bacterial small subunit ribosomal RNA", at positions 28 to 1398 of the family's 1533-position model. The record is from RNAcentral.